UACGGGAGGCAGCAGUGGGGAAUAUUGCACAAUGGGCGAAAGCCUGAUGCAGCUAUGCCGCGUGUAUGAAGAAGGCCUUAGGGUUGUAAAGUACUUUCAUCGGGGAGGAAAAAACAAAACUAAUAAUUUUAUUUCUUGACGUUACCCGAAAAAGAAGCACCGGCUAACUCCGUGCCAGCAGCCGCGGUAAUACGGAGGGUGCUAGCGUUAAUCAGAAUUACUGGGCGUAAAGAGCACGUAGGUGGUUUUUUUAAAGUCAGAUGUGAAAUCCCUGGGCUUAACCUAGGAACUGCAUUUUGAAACUGAAAUACUAGAGUAUCGUAGAGGGAGGUAGAAUUCUAGGUGUAGCGGUGAAAUGCGUAGAUAUCUGGAGGAAUACCUGUGGCGAAAGCGGCCUCCUAAACGAAUACUGACACUGAGGGUGCGAAAAGCGGUGGGGAGCAAAACAGGGAUUAGAUACC
RNAcentral lists this ribosomal RNA (461 nucleotides) under uncultured bacterium. RNAcentral describes it as "bacterial SSU rRNA". It matches the Rfam family "Bacterial small subunit ribosomal RNA", at positions 340 to 786 of the family's 1533-position model. The record is from RNAcentral.